RNAcentral lists this long non-coding RNA (1536 nucleotides) under Macaca fascicularis (crab-eating macaque). Its description in RNAcentral is "lncRNA (ENSMFAG00000065194.1)". Lineage: Eukaryota; Metazoa; Chordata; Mammalia; Primates; Cercopithecidae. The record is from RNAcentral.
UGCAAGCUACGCCUCCCAGGUUUAGGCCAUUCUCCUGCCUCAGCCUCCUGAGUAGCUGGGACUACAGGCGCCUGCCACCUCGCCUGGCUAGUUUUUUGUAUUUUUUAGUAGAGACGGGUUUCACCGUGUUAGCCAGGAUGGUCUCGAUCUCCUGACCUCGUGAUCCACCCAUCUCGGCCUCCCAAAGUGCUGAGAUUACAGGCUUGAGCCACCGCGCCCAGCCGGCAUCAUUUCUUAGAUCCUUUUUUCCAUGGCUAAGCGUAAAUGAAGCAAUGAUCAGAAAUUUAUCCCCCAAAAUAGGGCUCUAUAGCAGAUUAUAAUGUAAAGGCUAUGGUUACGCAAAAGAGUGUUAGAUGUUGUUACUAAAGUUGUGCUAAAUAAGAUAAUUUCUUUUGAUUACUUACUGGAUAAACAGAGAACUACCUUUGCAGUUGCUAAUACUUGUAGUUGCACAUGGUAGAAUACAUUGGGCAUUACAGAGAUGCAGUUGUAGGGGAUUAAUGAACAGUCUGCUUGGUUGAAAUGAGUAGAUCAUUAUCUAGCUAAUUAUUUAAUCUAUUUAAUUUUUGUUGGUUGUUCAUGGGGGCCUUGGCUAAGAAGCAUGGUUUCAACUCUUCUUCUUCUUUUUUUUUUUUUUUUUGUGAUGAAAUCUCACUCUGUAGCCUAGGCCGGAGUGCAGUGGUGUAAUCCUGGCUCACUGCAACCUCUGCCUCCCCGGGUCAAGCGAUUCUCCUUCCUCAGCCAGCUGAGUGGCUGGGAUUACAGGCGUGUACCUCUGCACCUGGCUAGUUUUUAGUAUUUUCAGUAGAGACUGGGUUUCACCAUGUUGACCAGGCUGCUCUUGAACUCCUGACUUCAGUUAAUCUGCCCACCUUGGCCUCUCAAAGUGCUAAUAUUACAGGAAUGGGCCACUGCGCCCGGCCGGUUUCAACUCUUGGUAUUAUCCUCCUGAUAAUCAAAAUAGUAGUCUCCCUACUACACCGUAUUCUCUCAAAAGUUAUAAAGGUUCACAUGCAGUCAUCUCUAGAAUGUCAAAUGGUCUCUCUUUAACUAGAAUGACAGAAACUCAAAGACAUAUGUGACCAUGGAGACACCAUAACCUAUGAAUAACACUAUAAGGGCAAAAACCCUAAAUAAUGGAUAUUGAGAGUGGCACUAAGGCCCUGAGUUUUGGUCACACUCUGACCUAUGUAAGAACUUUACCAAAAAGGGAGAGUUUUAAAAACAAAGUUGGCCAGAACGCUGGCUCACACCUGUAAUCCCAACACUUUGGGAAGCUGAGGAGGGUGGAUCACGAGGUCGGGAGAUGGAGACCAUCCUGGCAAAUGGGUGAAACCCUGUCUCUUCUAAAACUACAAAAAUUAGCUCGGUGUGGUGGCAAGUGUCUGUAACCCCAGCUACUCUGGUGGCUGAGGCAUGAGAAUCGCUUGAACCCAGGAGGCGGAAGUUGCAGUGAGCCGAGAUCAUGCCACUGCACUCCAGCCUGAUGACAGAGUGAGGCUCCAUCUCAAAACAAAACAAAACAAAAGUUAUUGG